AAAGUGAUACCUUCAUAAAUCUUUCAUUGCUUUUCUGAACAAAUCAUCGCCUUCGAUGAAGAUGGGAAUAAAAAUAGCUGCUUCUGCAAUUGAUCUGAUUCGUGGAAGACGAACUGCGGCUAAAUCUUCGCUUGAAUUCGGACUGGUUUUGCUGUAAUGGCCACCAUCUUCAAGAGCCGAUACGAAUAUGCUGUCUUUUUUUAGAUGGGAAAUUUGAGACUGUGUGAACCUAAUGAUGUUAUGAUAUACUUUUGAGAUAUUAUCUACGAUGGUCGACAAGGGUAUUUCACGUAUGAAGAAUGUUGUCUUCAUUAAUGUGACGAUGAUGGUCGACAAGGGUUACCUGUGAAGAAUGUUGUAUGUUCGUCCAAUGAUAAGUAUUUCACCAAGAUGUUGUAUCUUUGAUAAAGAACGAACCGGUGAAGAAUGUGAAUGUGGUAUGUUCGAAGGGUAGUUAAAAAAAGUUAUACAGAUGUUGUACCUUACACGGAUGUUGUAGGGUUGACGGAGGAUAAGUUAUUACUAUGUUUUAUGGUCGACAAACAAAUGAUAAGUUAUUAUGUUUUAUGCUCGACAAAUGACAAAUAUUUUAUAUAGUUGAUAAAGGUAUUUCAUUUGUGAAGUAUGUUGUCUUUGUUCAUGACGAUCAAAAUGUGAUGAUCGAAGUGUGUUUUCGUUAAUGAUGUUGUCAUGUCUUUGACGAUGUUCGAUAAAUGUAUUUCACUUGUGAAUGAUGUUUUUGUGAAGUAUGUUGUCUUCGGUGUAACGCAUGUAAAAAUAUUAUCCAAAAUGAGAAAUGAUUCAUAAAAUUGAUGUC
Long non-coding RNA from Salvia miltiorrhiza (redroot sage), 817 nucleotides. RefSeq lists it as uncharacterized. The record is from RefSeq and is a predicted model, not a curated record. The transcript is spliced from 2 exons. NCBI's taxonomy places the organism in Eukaryota, Viridiplantae, Streptophyta, Magnoliopsida, Lamiales, Lamiaceae.